AGCGAACGCUGGCGGCAGGCCUAACACAUGCAAGUCGAACGGCAGCGGGGGAUAGCUUGCUAUCCUGCCGGCGAGUGGCGGACGGGUGAGUAAUGCAUGGGGAGCUGCCCAGUCGAGGGGGAUAACAACUGGAAACGGUUGCUAAUACCGCAUACGCCCUGAGGGGGAAGGGUGGGGAACUUCGGUCCUACCGCGAUUGGAUGCGCCCAUGUGGGAUUAGCUAGUUGGUGAGGUAACGGCUCACCAAGGCGACGAUCUCUAGCUGGUCUGGGAGGAUGACCGGCAACACUGGAACUGAGACACGGUCCAGGCUCCUACGGGAGGCAGCAGUGGGGAAUAUUGCACAAUGGGGGAAACCCUGAUGCAGCCAUGCCGCGUGUGUGAAGAAGGCCUUCGGGUUGUAAAGCACUUUCAGUCAGGAGGAAGGGGUGAUGGCUAAUAUCCAUCAUCAUUGACGUUACUGACAGAAGAAGCACCGGCUAACUCCGUGCCAGCAGCCGCCGCGG
This 506-nucleotide ribosomal RNA is filed under the name uncultured bacterium. RNAcentral's name for it is "partial 16S ribosomal RNA". It matches the Rfam family "Bacterial small subunit ribosomal RNA", at positions 30 to 523 of the family's 1533-position model. The record is from RNAcentral.